CCUACGGGUGGCAGCAGUGAGGAAUAUUGGUCAAUGGACGAGAGCCUGAACCAGCCAAGUCGCGUGAAGGAUGACUGCCCUACGGGUUGUAAACUUCUUUUGUCAGGGAGCAAAAUGCUCCACGCGUGGCAUUCCGAGUGUACCCGAAGAAAAAGCAUCGGCUAACUCCGUGCCAGCAGCCGCGGUAAUACGUAGGAUCCGAGCGUUAUCCGGAUUUAUUGGGUUUAAAGGGUGCGCAGGAGGAAGAUAAAGUCAGCGGUAAAAUUGGGAGGCUCAACCUCUUAGAGCCGUUGAAACUGGUAGUCUUGAGUGAGUGAGAGGUAUGCGGAAUGCGUGGUGUAGCGGUGAAAUGCAUAGAUAUCACGCAGAACUCCGAUUGCGAAGGCAGUAUACCGGCGCUCAACUGACGCUGAGGCACGAAAGUGUGGGUAUCGAACAGGAUUAGAUACCCUUGUAGUC
This 459-nucleotide ribosomal RNA is filed under the name uncultured bacterium. RNAcentral's name for it is "partial 16S ribosomal RNA". It matches the Rfam family "Bacterial small subunit ribosomal RNA", at positions 338 to 795 of the family's 1533-position model. The record is from RNAcentral.